RNAcentral lists this long non-coding RNA (2643 nucleotides) under Amborella trichopoda. RNAcentral's name for it is "long non-coding RNA (ATRI_LNC005427)". Lineage: Eukaryota; Viridiplantae; Streptophyta; Magnoliopsida; Amborellales; Amborellaceae. The record is from RNAcentral.
AAUUCCCAAGCCUCUCCCUCUCUUCUCUCUCUCUAAACCUGAGGAACCCCCGCCAUCUUUCUCUCCUCUCGGCCUCACUCACAAAGACUUAUCUACCCCUCUCUCUCCAGAAGCAGAUCGACCACCUCUCCCUCUCUAGAAGCAGAUCGACCACCUCUCUCUCUCUAAAAUCAGAUUAUCAACAAAAAGAGCAGAUCGACCACCUAUCCCUAUGUAAAAUCGAAUUACGAACAAAAGGUAUGCAUUUUUUGUUUGGUUUUCGUUUUCUAGGGUUUCUUAUCUAUAUUAUGUCUGUUAAGAAUUUAAUCCAUGCACAGAUAGUUGUUUUACCCUUUUUUGGGUGCGUGAUUGUUCUCUGAUAAAGAGGUGAAAGAUUGUCUUUGGAUGAUUAUGUGAGCUGAUUUUCUCAGCUUUAAUAUUGUUAGGAUUCUUAAUAUAAGCUUUUUUUUUUUUGUCUGCUCUUUUGGGUUUUUGUUUCCAUUCUUUAGAUAGAUAUUAAAAAAUGAGCGUUUUAUUUAUUUUUUAUUGUUUUUUCAAGGCUUUAUUUAUUGUUUUUCCAAGGGUUUUAUGUUGGUUUUCUUAACCUUCCCAUCUCUUUUGUUGGAGCUUUUUUUUAAUGAUCCAUCGGAUUUAUAUGGUUUGGUCUGUUCGUUCUAUCUAAUUUUGCAUAAUAUCCACUGUGAUUUCGCCACAUUUAAUAUGAUCUGCCGCAAGGGUAAGAGAUAUUAUCACAGUGUAAUUAUUUUAGAGAGAUCAGCCCUAUUUAUUUGGACAAGAAAGGAAACGUGUGGUUGGACCACUUUGAAAUCCCAAUCUCAAUCACUUGGAAAUAUGAAAAUCCACCUUGUUCACUUGCUGGACUACUUUUGAGUAAUGUGGGUUGUUAUUCAUUCUAUAUUGUUGUUAUUGUUUUUUGCAUGAAGAUUCUGUUUUGUCUAGUUUUAUGGUUUAUGGAUUACAAGGGAAAACUUUAUUUGGGCCUCAAGAUUUUUACUCCCUUACAUUAUAGAAGCUGUGAAAGAAUUCAGGAUAUAUCAGUUUAUAAUUCGGAAUGAAAUUGAGUCCAAGGUAGUGAGUGGUUAAACAUUUGAAUUUUGGGUUAUCCAUUACUCUUCAUUGUUUGGUGACUGUGAUUUUUGAAAUCUUUUCUUACUUCCUUCUAUUUCUUGUUUCCUUGUGUAUGUGACGACCUUAUUACACUGCAAUGCUAAGCUUUGAAACAAUUUUAUAUUGUUCUUUAGAUAAAAUGGUGAAUAUCAAAGGUCGCAUUUUCUGAUUAAUAUUAGUGCUCGUAUCUUGUUUGAACCUUUGAUGUAAAUGUACUUAGAGAGAAAAUGUUCGUAGCAAAUUAGAACAUUUGUUAUUGAGCAUGCCAACUAUCCUAAUGACAAGAAGAGAGAAAAACAAUAUCAAACAUUAAUCUUCUAUUCCUAAUUAGAUAACUAAUAAUACCCCACAAGAGAAGUUUAUAUUGCUGCCAUAGAGAGGUUCAUAAUUCGGGCUUGUGUGAGGAAAUCAAGCGUCACUGAUCAAAUGUUUUAAUUCUCUAGAUUAUCCCUUUUAGUGGAUAGAAAGUCUGCGACCUUUGUCUCUUCACUUUAAAAAGUGCUUCCAUAUUCCCUAUACAAUGUGAAAAUGUAGAUGAGCUUCAUGGGAUUUCCCAAUUAGGGAACAAGUGGCUUUGGUCAAGUGGACUGCAUAUUCGAAUUGUGGUAUAUUUCAGUAGGAAAGAUUCCAUAAUGCAUGCUCAGUUGAUAAUUUUCAUGUCCAGCAUUUUACUUAAACAUACUGAAUUAUUCCCCCUUUUUUUUUGAGAAUGUUAACUUUGGAUUAAAAAAAGAUAAUUACAUGAAGAAAACGUUAUAUACGGCAUCCCACAUAGCGGGUGCUCAAAAUACAGAUAAAUAGAACAGAGAGAGCAGAAGCUCAGGGGGAGAGGAAAAAUGGAAGCAACCCCACAUAUCGGGUGCUCAACAUAAGAGAAAUAGACAAGAGAGAGCACAUAAGCUCAGGGGGGAGAGAGUAAGUCCAAAAAAGGAGCGACCUCAAAAGAUACAGAGGUUGUGGGUGAUAGUAGCAAAAUACAUAAAGGAAGAGCUGCUGAGGGAGUCUUCAAGCUGAUCUGGUGGGAUUUGAAAUAGCCAUCUGAUGAAUGUUCAUUGCUAAAUCAUAAGAAAGUAUAGAAUGCGGGAAGUUAGUAAAUUGAGCCUCUCCUUUACAAUUUAAUCACAUGUGGCAUUUUUCCAUGAUAUGCCAACCAUGAAUACCAUAUGGUUCUUGGGUGUGCAUGACUUUCCUGUGUGCUAAUCUUUGUUAUUGGUGUUGCAUUGGUAGAUCAUCAUUUGUGUAUGGGCUUAUGUUAGUUGCUUAUUGAGGGUUUCCUUUACUGUUAUUAAUGCUUAUAUUUCUCUGCUCGUAUUUUGUCAUGGCAAUGGUGGACACAUUGUUAGUGAUUCUUUGAGUUGCUUGUGCUGAUUCAUUUAUAAAAUCCCAAAUCGAUCUCUGUGUGGUUGUGUGUGUGUGUGUGUGUGUGCUUCUGCCUGUUUUUCCUUUUCUCUAGGCGGUGGAGAAGCUGCUGAUUAUAGAAAUUUAUUUUAUAAGUUGAAUUAUUAAAAUUAACAAGUGUGGUCCUCUUUCUCUCAG